Molecule: non-coding RNA, 367 nt
Rfam family: transfer-messenger RNA
About the family: Bacterial tmRNA, also known as 10Sa RNA or SsrA, is named for its dual tRNA and mRNA-like properties.
Source: Rfam
GGGGUCGUUAUGGAUUCGACGGGUAUAGGUUGAGUCUGGAUUGCGUUUCGUGCAGCGCCACGUUAAACCGCCCAGUUUAUUAUAACUGCAAAAAAUAAUAACAAUUCUUACGCUUUAGCUGCCUAAUAAGCGCUUAACGUAGAUCCUCCUAAUCUCGCCCAUGGGUUAGAUCUGGGUCCUAAAUUUAGUGGGCUCACGCAGUUUGCUCCCACCUGAAGUGAACUGAAGAGACUAAUCAGGUUAGCCUGCUGUGGGUGCCUUGAUUUAUGGCGUUUCAGUAGGUGAAAUUCAAAUAAUAGAUCUAUGAACGUAGAUAUCUAGGUGGCAAUAUGCUCGGACGCGGGUUCAACUCCCGCCGACUCCAUCA